UACGAAGGGGGCUAGCGUUGUUCGGAAUUACUGGGCGUAAAGGGCGCGUAGGCGGUACUUCAAGUCAGGCGUGAAAGCCCCGGGCUCAACCUGGGAACCGCGCUUGAGACUGGAGAACUAGAGUUCGGGAGAGGAUGGUGGAAUUCCCAGUGUAGAGGUGAAAUGCGUAGAUAUCUGGAGGAAUACCGGUGGCGAAGGCGGCAUCCUGGACCGGCAUUGACGCUGAGGAGCGAAAGCCAGGGGAGCAAAUGGG
RNAcentral lists this ribosomal RNA (253 nucleotides) under uncultured bacterium. RNAcentral's name for it is "partial 16S ribosomal RNA". It matches the Rfam family "Bacterial small subunit ribosomal RNA", at positions 524 to 776 of the family's 1533-position model. The record is from RNAcentral.